UUCCGGUUGAUCCUGCCGGAGGUCAUUGCUAUUGGAGUCCGAUUAAGCCAUGCUAGUCGCACGGGUUUAGACCCGUGGCGGAAAGCUCAGUAACACGUGGCCGAACUACCCUAUGGACCAGGACAACCUCGGGAAACUGAGAGUAAUCCUGGAUACGACUUCCUACCUUGAAUGGGGGGAGUCGAAAACGCUCAGGCGCCAUAGGAUGUGGCUGCGGCCGAUUAGGUAGACGGUGGGGUAACGGCCCACCGUGCCCAUAAUCGGUACGGGUUGUGAGAGCAAGAGCCCGGAGAUGGAAUCUGAGACAAGAUUCCAGGCCCUACGGGGCGCAGCAGGCGCGAAACCUUUACACUGCACGAAAGUGCGAUAGGGGGACUCCAAGUGCGAGGGCAUACAGUCCUCGCUUUUGUGUACCGUAAGGUGGUACACGAAUAAGAGCUGGGCAAGACCGGUGCCAGCCGCCGCGGUAAUACCGGCAGCUCGAGUGAUGACCGCUAUUAUUGGGCCUAAAGCGUCCGUAGCCGGCCGAACAGGUCCGUUGGGAAAUCCACUGGCUCAACCAGUGGGCGUCCAGCGGAAACCCGUCGGCUUGGGGCCGGAAGACCUGAGGGGUACGUCUGGGGUAGGAGUGAAAUCCUGUAAUCCUGGACGGACCGCCGGUGGCGAAAGCGCCUCAGAGGACGGACCCGACGGUGAGGGACGAAAGCUAGGGUCACGAACCGGAUUAGAUACCCGGGUAGUCCUAGCCGUAAACGAUGAUCGCUAGGUGUGGCGCUGGCUACGAGCCAGCGCUGUGCCGUAGGGAAGCCGCGAAGCGAUCCGCCUGGGAAGUACGUCCGCAAGGAUGAAACUUAAAGGAAUUGGCGGGGGAGCACUACAACCGGAGGAGCCUGCGGUUUAAUUGGACUCAACGCCGGACAUCUCACCGGCCCCGACAGUAGCCGUGAACGUCAGUGUGAUGAGCUUACUGGAGCUACUGAGAGGAGGUGCAUGGCCGCCGUCAGCUCGUACCGUGAGGCGUCCUGUUAAGUCAGGCAACGAGCGAGACCCGCACUCCUAAUUGCCAGCAACACCCUUGUGGUGGUUGGGUACAUUAGGAGGACUGCCGCUGCCAAAGCGGAGGAAGGAACGGGCAACGGUAGGUCAGUAUGCCCCGAAUGGGCCGGGCGACACGCGGGCUACAAUGGCCGGGACAGUGGGAUGCCACCCCGAGAGGGGGCGCUAAUCUCCUAAACCCGGUCGUAGUUCGGAUUGAGGGCUGAAACUCGCCCUCAUGAAGCUGGAUUCGGUAGUAAUCGCGUUUCAGAAGAGCGCGGUGAAUACGUCCCUGCUCCUUGCACACACCGCCUGUCAAAGCACCCGAGUGAGGUCCGGAUGAGGCCACCGUAACGGUGGUCGAAUCUGGGCUUCGCAAGGGGGCUUAAGUCGUAACAAGGUAGCCGUAGGGGAAUCUGCGGCUGGAUCACCUCCU
This 1471-nucleotide ribosomal RNA is filed under the name uncultured haloarchaeon. RNAcentral describes it as "16S ribosomal RNA". It matches the Rfam family "Archaeal small subunit ribosomal RNA". The record is from RNAcentral. Lineage: Archaea; Methanobacteriati; Methanobacteriota; Halobacteria; Halobacteriales; Halobacteriaceae.